Cyprinus carpio (common carp) is the source of this 710-nucleotide long non-coding RNA. The record is from Ensembl. NCBI's taxonomy places the organism in Eukaryota, Metazoa, Chordata, Actinopteri, Cypriniformes, Cyprinidae.
GCAGCCAAUCAGCACUUCAGCCAAAACCACACAACUUUCAGCUUUGGCAGUCGUCAUGUUUCCUGUUCUGAAUUGAAGCCCUUCUGCUGUUCGAGUAGUAUCAGAGUUUUAUUUAGUUUUUCGCAGCAUAUCUAGCGUUGGAAUAUCAGAGUCUUUCAGUUCUCAGAAUUGAAGCCAUUUUGCUGUUUAAUGCGAUUCUGUGCCACUUCUGAAGCUCAGACAGCGCAACAUCAGCAGAGAUCUCAGAGUUGUGAUGGAGGUUUCUUCUCUUCAGCUCAACACAAGCUGGGAUGUAGAAAUGAACUGCUAGAGCAUCAGAAACCAGAUAGGAAGAAACAACAGGACAGAGAGAAAAAUGGAGGCCAGAAAUGAGACACAAACCAGUGAAACACAAGAGAAAAACAGACUGACACUUGUCAGAUGUGCCAGUAUAGAGAUAAUAAAACCAAGCUUCUCACAUGAUCCAGACGGACCUGUAAACUUUCCUUCAGAUGAAACUUCAGCACGUUCUGAAGAACACACAACAUCCCUGAGACAGCAGCAGCGGCUGAAGACAACACCAUCAUGAUCCCAGACUCCAUCCAUCCACACUACAGUCUGCUCAGACCCUCAGAGACCUGCAGACACUAUCAGCAGCAGGGGCUCAAGCGGAAACAGAGACACUUCUCUUGUUAUAAAACUAAUAAAAAAUAUUAAGGAAAAAAAAGGCA